CCUACGGGAGGCAGCAGUGAGGAAUAUUGGUCAAUGGACGAGAGUCUGAACCAGCCAAGUAGCGUGAAGGAUGACUGCCCUACGGGUUGUAAACUUCUUUUAUAUGGGAAUAAAACAGGGUAUGCAUACCUCCUUGUAUGUGUCAUAUCAAAAAGGAUAGCCUCACUCCGUGUCAGCAGCCGCGGUAAUACGGAGGAUCCGAGCGUUAUCCGGAUUUAUUGGGUUUAAAGGGGGCGUAGGUGGGUUGUUAAGUCAGUUGUGAAAGUUUGCGGAUCAACCGUAAAAUUGCAGUUGAAACUGGCAGUCUUGAGUGCAGAAAGGGUGGGCGGAAUUCAUGGUGUAGCGGUGAAAUGCUUAGAUAUCACGAAGAACUCCGAUUGCGAAGGCAGGUGACUGGACUGCAACUGACGCUGAUGCUCGAAAGUGUGGGUAUCAAACAGGAUUAGAUACCCCAGUAGUC
Molecule: ribosomal RNA, 460 nt
Filed under: uncultured bacterium
Lineage: Bacteria
Description: partial 16S ribosomal RNA
Rfam family: Bacterial small subunit ribosomal RNA
Source: RNAcentral